GCCUGGCUGGCUCAGUCAGCAGAGCAUGUGACUGUUGAUCUUGGGGUUGUAGGUUCAAGCUUUGCGCUGGGUG
This 73-nucleotide transfer RNA is filed under the name Ailuropoda melanoleuca (giant panda). It matches the Rfam family "tRNA". From Rfam's summary of the family: Transfer RNA (tRNA) molecules are approximately 80 nucleotides in length. Their secondary structure includes four short double-helical elements and three loops (D, anti-codon, and T loops). Lineage: Eukaryota; Metazoa; Chordata; Mammalia; Carnivora; Ursidae. The record is from Rfam by way of RNAcentral.